AUACGUAGGUGACAAGCGUUAUCCGGAUUUACUGGGCGUAAAGGGCGUGUAGGCGGUCUUGCAAGUCAGAAGUGAAAUUCCUGAGCUCAACUCGGGCGCUGCUUCUGAAACUGCAGGACUUGAGUGCUGGAGGGGAUAGCGGAAUUCCUAGUGGAGCGGUAAAAUGCGCAGAUAUUAGGAAGAACACCGGUGGCGAAGGCGGCUAUCUGGACAGUAACUGACGCUGAGGCGCGAAAGCGUGGGGAGCAAACAGGAUUAGAUACCCUGGUAGUCCACGCCAUAAACGAUGAAUACUAGGUGUAGGGGGUAUCGACCCCCUCUGUGCCGACGUUAACACAUUAAGUAUUCCACCUGGGGAGUACGGCCGCAAGGUUGAAACUUAAAGGAAUUGACGGGG
Molecule: ribosomal RNA, 397 nt
Filed under: uncultured bacterium
Lineage: Bacteria
Description: partial 16S ribosomal RNA
Rfam family: Bacterial small subunit ribosomal RNA
Source: RNAcentral